UGGGGAAUAUUGGACAAUGGGCGAAAGCCUGAUCCAGCAAUGCCGCGUGUGUGAAGAAGGCCCGAGGGUUGUAAAGCACUUUCAAUAGAGACGAAAAGCUUGAGGAUAAUACCCUCAAGUCUUGACUUAACCUAUAGAAGAAGCACCGGCUAACUCCGUGCCAGCAGCCGCGGUAAUACGGAGGGUGCAAGCGUUAAUCGGAAUUACUGGGCGUAAAGCGCUCGUAGGCGGUUUGUUAAGUCGGAUGUGAAAGCCCCGGGCUUAACCUGGGAACUGCAUUCGAUACUGGCAGACUAGAGUAUAGUAGAGGCAAGUGGAAUUCCGGGUGUAGCGGUGAAAUGCGUAGAUAUCCGGAGGAACAUCAGUGGCGAAGGCGACUUGCUGGACUAAUACUGACGCUGAGGAGCGAAAGCGUGGGGAGCAAACGGGAUUAGAUACCCCCGUAGUCC
This 449-nucleotide ribosomal RNA is filed under the name uncultured prokaryote. RNAcentral's name for it is "bacterial SSU rRNA". It matches the Rfam family "Bacterial small subunit ribosomal RNA", at positions 355 to 796 of the family's 1533-position model. The record is from RNAcentral.